GCAUAUCCAAAAAGCGGAGGAAAAGAAACCAACAGGGAUUGCCUUAGUAGCGGCGAGUGAAGCGGCAAUAGCUCAAAUUUGAAAUCUGGCACCUUCGGUGUCCGAGUUGUAAUUUGAAGAAGGUAUCUUUGGUUUUGGCUCUUGUCUAUGUUCCUUGGAACAGGACGUCACAGAGGGUGAGAAUCCCGUGCGAUGAGAUGCCCAAUUCCAUGUAAAGUUCCUUCGACGAGUCGAGUUGUUUGGGAAUGCAGCUCUAAGUGGGUGGUAAAUUCCAUCUAAAGCUAAAUAUUGGCGAGAGACCGAUAGCGAACAAGUACUGUGAAGGAAAGAUGAAAAGAACUUUGAAAAGAGAGUGAAAAAGUACGUGAAAUUGUUGAAAGGGAAGGGCUUGAGGUCAGACUUGGUUUUACCAGGCCAGCAUCAGUUUGGAUGGCAGGAUAAUAGCUUAGGAAUGUGGCACUGCUUCGGUAGUGUGUUAUAGCCUGGGUUGAUACUGCCUGUCUAGACUGAGGACUGCGUCUUUGACUAGGAUGCUGGCAUAAUGACCUUAAGCCGCCCGUCUUGAACCCACGGACCA
This 577-nucleotide ribosomal RNA is filed under the name Yamadazyma mexicana. RNAcentral describes it as "partial large subunit ribosomal RNA". It matches the Rfam family "Eukaryotic large subunit ribosomal RNA", at positions 38 to 668 of the family's 3401-position model. The record is from RNAcentral. Lineage: Eukaryota; Fungi; Ascomycota; Pichiomycetes; Serinales; Debaryomycetaceae.